Molecule: non-coding RNA, 405 nt
Organism: Pelobates cultripes (western spadefoot toad)
Lineage: Eukaryota; Metazoa; Chordata; Amphibia; Anura; Pelobatidae
Source: the annotation of a GenBank genome assembly
GUUACAGGUAGUCACACACACUCAUAGCCAGACAGUCACGCACACAGUUACAGAAAGACAGUCACAUAUACAGUCACUCAUACACAAAGUCAAAGGCAGAGAGUUACGCACACAGACAUACAGGCAGACACACACACACACACACACACAGUUACAGGCACACAGUCACAUGCAGACAGUCACACAUACAGUCACAGACAGUCAUGCACACAGUUACAGGCAGACAGUCACAUAUACAUUGACACACACACACGACAUCAGCAGACAGUCACAUGCACACAGUCACAGACAGAUAUUCACACACGGUUACAGGCAACAUCAAACAGUCACAGGCAGACAGUCCGGCAGACAAUUACACACACAGUCAGUUACAGGUAGUCACACACAGUCAUAGCCAGACAGUCA